This 213-nucleotide ribosomal RNA is filed under the name uncultured bacterium. Its description in RNAcentral is "partial 16S ribosomal RNA". It matches the Rfam family "Bacterial small subunit ribosomal RNA", at positions 137 to 334 of the family's 1533-position model. The record is from RNAcentral.
CGGGGGACAACCGUCCGAAAGGAUGGCUAAUACCGCAUACGUCGGCGAGGGCUAUGGUCCUUGUCGGGAAAGAUGGCCUCUCCUUGGAAGCUGUCACUGGAAGAUGAGUCCGCGGCCCAUCAGCUAGUUGGUGAGGUAAUGGCUCACCAAGGCUAUGACGGGUAGCUGGUCUGAGAGGAUGAUCAGCCACACUGGAACUGCGACACGGUCCAG